AGAUGCUGUCCUGUUGGAAAUUCUUCUUUACGUGAUCCUGGAGGAUGGUGAUGCUACAUUACUAAGUCCGUCUUUGGUUUGUUCCAAAUUCAGAAGUCUGUUGUACUGUAUACAGACUCCUUUCGAAAGAGGGCACAAUCCAGCUACCUUGACAGAGUGUUUUCUUUUACAUAUUUGAUUAGAGGUUUAAAAAGGUGGAACAAAAUGGAGAACAAGUCUAAGCCAUGCCAGGAAUUCUUCAAAAUGUACACCUUGCAGACACUGCGACGAGGUUUACAACAACUGCUUACCAGGUCACUGCAGUCACCCGGAUCCAGUACAUAUCCAGACCAGAUGGUGGAUCCCCUGUAA
Molecule: long non-coding RNA, 351 nt
Organism: Carassius auratus (goldfish)
Lineage: Eukaryota; Metazoa; Chordata; Actinopteri; Cypriniformes; Cyprinidae
Exons: 3
Source: RefSeq, a predicted model, not a curated record